Molecule: long non-coding RNA, 3199 nt
Filed under: Malus domestica (apple)
Lineage: Eukaryota; Viridiplantae; Streptophyta; Magnoliopsida; Rosales; Rosaceae
Description: long non-coding RNA (MDOM_LNC003358)
Source: RNAcentral
CCAGAGAGAGAAGAGAAGGGAGAGGAGAGCCUCUGUGGUGUGAGGACUCUCUCUCAAGGCUUCUAGCCUUUGUUUUCAGCUCUAGCCCUUAGAAAUGAGGACUUAAGACCUUUUUUUAGAAUGAGGGGGAGUCCCCUUUUAUAGAAUAAGGGGCUCCUCCUCUUUUACAUUUGUCGUGGGCUUAAUGUGUGAGGCCCAAAUACGAAGCCCAAGGCCCAAAUACGAGGCCCAAAUAUAUGGUACCAACAGGAGUCCCCCAAGUCUUCAGUCAAGAGAGUCUUUUGGCUGGAGACUUCAAAUUCAAUCCAUGUACGGGCCGAAGUGGCUAGAUGUCUUGAACCAGUACUCAACCUAAGGCAAUGCUCAACAUAAAGCAAUACUGGGCUAAAGGUAUCACAAAAUUACGAGACUACUCGGCUGGAGGCGAUGCUCGUUGCGAGGCGGCUCGGCUCGUGGUAUUCCUUAUUGCAAGUAUCUACUUUAUGUCGACAUGCACUCAGUAUGAGUUGAUUCUCGACAUGACUCGGGUCUGCUUGUCGGGUUCACAUAUUGGGUCUAUAUGUCAGAUCUGCGGAUCAGGUCCGCAAGUCGGGUCUUUGAAUUGGGGCCAUACGUAGGGGCAUCAAGUUGGGACUAUCUGUAGGGUCAUCGAGUUGGGUCCGGGCACAUAGGUGUCCCAAUAAGCGAAUGUCCGAGCAAGGGUGUCUGGUCAGGCAAGAGAUCAAUGUUGAUCAGUAUAGCUGGUUGCUCGAUAAUUCCUGACAAUAAAUGACAGCAUAAGUAUGAUUGUAUAAUGAAUAAAUCGAAUUGACACAAUUUGUCAAGGCAGAAUAUUGUAUGAUGUGCCUACUACAAAUAAAUGAUUUAUUCAGUUGUGUGGUAAAUCACACGUUGCAUAAGUGAAAUAAUUAGCUGAAACACUGGGCAAUGAAUAAAUAUUUGCACAAAUAAAUGCUUAUAUAAAUAUGCGCGAUCCGACUAGGAUUAGUGAUAUAUAUAUAUAUAUAUAUAUAUAUAUAUAUAUAUAUACAUACAUACAUACAUAUAUACUUGUGAAAGGUUGUGUGCCCAUAAUUAUGCCACGUGACUAGCCAUUGUCUCAAGGUAAUAGCCUUUGAUGCAAUAGUAUAUAAUAUAUUGAUCAGUUCGGUGCAUGUGUUUAGCACACGCAAUAGAUGGAGUUAUGAUCAUUUACAAUGAUUAAGUACUGACUUUCUGUCAGCACAGUACAUUUAAUAUGGUGUUACAUGGCAUAUAAGUGAUGCAUUUGUAUUGCACUACGCAUACUGAUAUUGGUAUGUACAUAGCAGACUUAAGUUUACAACAGCAUUAUUUAAUAAAAGCACAAGCACGCGGCCAUAUGCGGUUGCAUUCUAGCAACAAGUAUAUAUAUAUAUAUACUGUUGUGAUGCCAACUAUCAUUAUAUACUAAUAAUGCUUUCUAGCAACAAGCACGGCAUAUCCUAAUAAUGCUUUUGUGAUGCCAACUAUCAUUAUAUAUAUAUAUAUUAAUUAUGCUUUUGUGAGUGCCGAUUAUAAUGAAACACUAUUGAUAAAGAAAGAAGAUGCCUUAUCUUUAUCCCGACAUUGGCGGUCGACAGGAAAAAGUGGAUGGAGACCUAACGUUUUUUGUUGUUGUCCAAGCCCUUUUGAUGAUGAUUAUCAUCCAUUGGCAUAUCCUGCUGUAACAAACUCAAUUGGAGUGGAGCAAAGUGGCGGGGCCCAAAUAAGGCUCAGGGUUCCACUAAUAGUUAGGGCAGGAUGUGCUACAGCCUUUUCGAUUGUUUCUCCUUCCCGUCCAACUCUGUGAGUGAUUAACUCGAACGAGUGUUUCUCCGGCCUGCAAAGCCUUUUCGAUUUCGACAUCACUCCGAGCAGCAUCCUCAAUGUUAAUAGGUAAAACAGCAUCCUCAAUGUUAAUGGGCAUUUGCCCAUGGCUGAUUGCUGCUCUGUGAGUAGGAGAAUGAGCAUUGGGAUUCAGAUUCGACGACAUCGUCGUGGUCCUGGAAAUGACAUCCAUCUGCGGUCUGGUGAUUGCCUGAUAUUGUAAAUCUCGAAACGACGUCGCAACCAAGAAAAAGAGUGAGAACGCCUGGAUAUUGGCUGCUGACUCGGGCUUGGUUUCUCUGCUCUGAAGUUUCCCCACUGACCCAACCCCGUUUGGCCCAUAUCUCCGACCCGUUGUCCAGUUGGUAAACCAAGUGGACAAAUGCCCAGCGACCAUUCUCCUUGUCGUCAAAGGCACAGAUUAGGUCCUUCACCAUGGGUUAGACAGAGAGGAGGAAGACGGCGACAAACUUGAACUCAAGGACUCUAUGAGCAAUGGCAAGCCAAGUGACCGGACCCGGCCGACGAGGGCGUCGAGGACGCUCCACUUACCGCUGUUCUGACUUCCCACGAUCGCCACUUGAGGCAGCAAAAUAUGCGGCUUGUUGCUGACCACCGGCGCGAGAAUAUCCUGGACCCUGUUGAUCAUCGAAAUUAACGACGAGCCGAUCGUCACUGAAGGUCUCGGACUGGUUGCCGAUGAGUCGACUUCUUUAGCUUCUUCUCCAAUGGUGCAGUUUUAGAGAGAGAAAACUUACACUCUGAUUACCAAGAGUGUGGUAGAGAGAUAAAGUAGUGUUACAGAGAGUAAGGUAGAGAGAGGCAAACGUGGGUUUUUUGUGAAUGUGGGUUUUUGGGUUUUUUGUGAUUUUGCAGAUUCACGGUGGAGGUGAAAAAUUGAGAAAGAACCGACAUAGCUUUUCGUGUCGAUUCCCACAGACGGCGCCAAAUGUUGAUGCACAAAACCGGGGCGGUCUUGGAACAACAUAAAUCCGACCGUGAAUCUGCACAAACGCUCAAGAACACGAAGAACACAAAGAACACAAGGAUUUUAUCGUGGUUCACCCCAAUGUUUGGGCUACGUCCACACUGUAGUUGAUUCUGUUUCUCUGUAAUUGUAUGGAUACAAGUGUUUGAGGGGAAGUCCCCCAGAGAGAGAAGAGAAGGGAGAGGAGAGCCUCUGUGGUGUGAGGACUCUCUCUCAAGGCUUCUAGCCUUUGUUUUCAGCUCUAGCCCUUAGAAAUGAGGACUUAAGACCUUUUUUUAGAAUGAGGGGGAGUCCCCUUUUAUAGAAUAAGGGGCUCCUCCUCUUUUACAUUUGUCGUGGGCUUAAUGUGUGAGGCCCAAAUACGAAGCCCAAGGCCCAAAUACG